UAUCUUGAUUUUUUCUCAAAAUAUAAUUAUACUACUUAAAGUUUUUGUACGCAAAAACUCUAAUACGAAAAGCCGUAUGAAAUAGGUAUAUUGGACCCGGGGGCAGUACCCGGCGCCUCCACCAAAAUUAUUUACGGGGGCGAGAUAGGUUUGACAAUGUAUAGUAAAGAUACUUGUGCUGUAUUCGGUGAGAUACCACCGUUAUCGGUUCAAAACAAAUAAACGCAAAUGAUAAUUUUGCACCAGUUGCUGUAGCUGCUUAAGGCAAAGCAACAAAUUCAAUUCUUUAGACUUUGGUUAGCCUAAAGUGGGGGAUGAGCCACCCAGCAACAGAACGGCUCGUUU
Molecule: transfer-messenger RNA, 345 nt
Filed under: Alphaproteobacteria bacterium
Lineage: Bacteria; Pseudomonadati; Pseudomonadota; Alphaproteobacteria
Rfam family: Alphaproteobacteria transfer-messenger RNA
About the family: Bacterial tmRNA, also known as 10Sa RNA or SsrA, is named for its dual tRNA and mRNA-like properties.
Source: RNAcentral